AGAAAGAUAUGCAGUGAGUGAAUCAUUUGGGAGUCAUUUAUCCGUAUAUCCAUCCAUCCAUGUGUGUUAAAGUGGCUGUGGAGUUUUGUUAAUGCAGUGAAUGGAGUGACGUGUGUUUUCCAGAUGUGUAAUUCAGAUGUUCAACAUGGAACUUUGUACUGUAUGUAUAUUCCUGUAAUUCAAGUGGACUUGGUGGUUCGGUGGGCAAUAGUGUGAUUUAGUUUUUUGAGUGUUAUUGUAAAGAAAUUGAAGGCAGACCCCUUGGAAGUUAUCAGAGUCACUCUAUUAUGGCCUAGUUCCCUGGUUGCCUCUGUGUGUCUGUCUCUCUGUGUGAAUGAGGGAGAGAUAUGACAUGCUUGCAAGUAGUUUGGGGGGGUCAGGAAAAUCAAAGUAGCUGUAGAAAAGGCUGUUUAUGCCAUGUAGGAUGAAUUAAGAGAAAUGGUUUGAUUUGUGUAAGUAGGUAUUUAUUGUAUUGGAGUUACUUUGAAAUGAAGAAUAUUCAAUCCCAAUGACCGAAAAGAAUUAUAUAGAUGAUUGUGGAGAAGUUGAAUCCCUCCCACAUAAUUGGAGUUUGCAUACAGGGUUUCCUGCAUGCUUGCUUAAUGUGUUUUGUAAGAUGGGGUCAGCAGAAACGAGUACAGCACAAUGAGACUGUUAGUUAGUCUGUCAGUAAGGUGUGUAAGCGGUUAAUAUCCACACACAGAGUAGAGGAAGAUCCAGCAACACUGGGGAAAGGUGUUAAAGGGGAACAUGAAUAGAAGUCAUCUGUGAACAUGAGAUUACGGCACAUACUGAGCUCACAAUGAUGAACGUACUGGUUUACUGAACAGUGUGGCAAGAAUAGUAUUAGCGACGGCAUUGGUCACAUGAGGUUAGCUGGAUUGGUUGUCAGUAGAGAGGAGGUGGAGACAGUUGCAUAGGUGUCAAGGUUUGUAAUUGGUAACGAGAAGAAGCUGUGCAGAGCGUCAUAUGACUUUGCGCAUAGCUUGCGAUUGGUUAAUUGCAGAGAGGCGUCAGCUGUGGAUGGCAGAGAAGGAGCUAUGUAAGCAGUCCUUUUCCUUGGAGCGGCAGCCAUCGUGUGAAGACUGGCUCGUGUAAAGACCUGCUCGACUCUAACUGCACGGCGACAAGGAGCGGAUGCAGCACAGCCAUGGACAACUCCUGAUCUCCAGCAAGCUCCUUCACUACAACACCUGGCACGAUCCUGGAAGCUUGCACACCAGCUAACCCCUGGACUUCCUCAAGGAUCUGUGCUGACUCCCCUCCUUGCCAGGGACUUCAAUGGAGCAACAUUUUCCCUCACAAAUGCUGUCUCCAAACAAACUGUGUCUGAUUUCUGAGAUCUAAGACAGCUACACAAUGCAUUCCAGCCAGUCCAUUCCACAAUCUCGGCACACAUUUCCAACCAGCUUUCUCAAGUCACCAUCUCAACAAAUAAAUACUACAUCAAUCAAGAAACAAAAACUACCACAUCUAAUAAAUAUAUUUAGCACUGCCACUGCUCCCUAAAUCAUUCCCACUACAUCUGCUCCAUGCUACUGCAAGAACAUAAAUUUGGUGACAUACCACACUCCCGUUAUCUGACAAUCAAGGUUACUUUACAUACAUCAUCUCAACUACUUCAAACAUCCAUUCACCAUCUGACUAUGGGACGUAGCCAACUCCCAGACCGCACAUACACUGUCACAGGUAGGGAUGGCCGAUAUGGGCUUCAAAAUAUAUUGCGAUAACCAUAUCAAUGACAAUAAUUCAGGGAAUCCUGUUCCUUUAGACAAAAGAAUGAUCUUUCCUAUUUUUACCCCAAACAGGGUGUUGUGAGCGUUAUUGAGUACACAUGUAAUGCAGUGACUGUUUAAUUCAUACUGGAAGCCGAAGGGCGCCCUUGCGCAGAAACUCAACAUAUCCAUAGCACAAGUACCGUAUUGUCGCGAAUAUAAGACGACCCCCCUUUUUCCAGAUGUACCUUUUGGAAAAAGGCUUUUUGAAAACCAAAUCUUUUUUUCUCUCUGUAAAACACAUUUUUUCUUAAAUUAUUUUCAAAUUGCAUAUUUUUCCUAUUUAAAUUUUUGUUUUGAAAGUAUGGUAAAUACUGGUAAAAUGUACCAACAAUGACAUUGAAAAAUAUACACUUUUUGAUAUACCACUGAAAUAACAGGUAGCCCAUCUGAAUUAUAUAACAUUUAGGCUAUCCAUCUCAUAGUAGCCUACCAAAAUUUUAUUAUCAGUAGAAGUUAAAUCUUAUUGUAGUCUUCAAAUCUGGGUACUGUCUUAUGUUUUAAAAUCACUUACACAGGAAGUUUGUUCUCAUCAGACUAACAUGACAGUCACGACUCAUGCCGCUGUAAGUGUUUUCACUCACGUUCUUUACAACACACAUUACAUUACAUAUUUCACGGCACACUCGUUUUAUGCAUUUUUGGCGCCACCUAUUGUUGUGGGUGUAUUAUUGACAUGUCAAAGUCUAGACCCCGAAUAUAAGACGACCGCGUUUUUUCAGAUAUAUUUCAAAGAAAAAAACAUUGUCUUAUAUUCGGGUCAAUACGGUAAUACUACUGACACACAACGGAGCUAGACAAAUUUUAACUGAUGAAACCUGAAGACAAUAAACAUACAAUUACACAAAAUAUAUGGCUUAUCUGUGUUCAAGCAAUCUUGGGUAUUUUUUCCCUAAGGAAAGUAUAUUUAUAAUGCAAUGCUAAUAGACAUAGCCUUUAGCACUGUAUAUGUAAUAUGAAACCACGUCUGGUCACAAAAAGAAACUCGAUUAUGUUAAGUUAAUUUGGAGAAAAAUCAUGUCAAUAAAUGAUAUCUUUCUUGGACAACAGAUUUUAAACUGUAUCGCACACAUUCUACUGUAGUACAUUUAUUCAGACCGAUUCUUUGUCACACCAGUUGACCAAACCAGUUCCGGAUUGUUGAAGGAGCUGCUCAUUUAGCGAUAAACUCCUCCUCCUCAAUUUUACGUCUGCCUUCUGCCAUGUCACACACAGAAAUAUGUCAACAACUACACUUUAUCCUUAUUAUCACAGAAAGACUAAUUCUUAUCGUGGGGAGAAUUUGUACCAGUAUAUCGCAAAUUAUAAGGUAUCGCCCAUCCCUACUCGCAUGGCAUGUCAACCAACUCAGUCAUGUACAGUAUAUGUUACUCCAUAAAUAACCAAACUGUUCCCACAAAAAUAACAACAACAAAAAAUACUGCACUACCAUAACGAAUACCUUAACAACAGCCCCAUGCUGUUACAAGCUAAUACUUACACUUGGUCAGAUGCUGAUGUCAAAUACUUCACCCAUAUAGCAUUACUCGCUUGUUACUCCUCCUUAGCAGUGUUGGGUGUAAUGAGUUACUAAGUAACGCUUUACUGCAAUUAAAUCACUUGUCCACUGAAAAAGUUAAGUAAGGGAUUACUGUUCAUUUUUAGGUAAUUGCAUUACAGUUAAUUAUAAAGUACUUGCAUUACAUACUGUAAAUAAUUUCAACCAUUCUAAAAUCAAUAUUGAAUUUGAAAUCUAAAUUUACCAUCUAAAGAUAAAAUUGAAAGCAGUGUCUUUAACCCUCUGCGCGCCAGCGCGUUCACUUUCAGUUUUUCCUGAUUCACAGAGAAACAUUAAAUACUCAGAUACAGAUAAGACUAAACUCAAUCGAAUCUAAAAAGGGCCUACUUUUAUGUGUGUACACUGACAAUAACAAAAAAACAUUGUGCUUUUGUAAAAUAAACAAAACAAAGGGUGUUCUUUCUGCCGUCUAGAUCUCUGUGAGCAACUUUGUCUAAUUUUAAAUGAACAAAUUCAAAUCGAAAACGGAUAUUCUCUAAUUAUGUAAUCCCUAUGAAACUGAGAUAGUCUGUCACGUAUCUGAGCUCAUUAUAUGCAGUCACCUGCACGCAAAUGCCUCCCCUAGAUACAAAAAAAUUUAUUUAAAAAACUAAUUCUAGAUUCAUCUAAUUUUCAUAGUUUUUGAAAGAUUACCUGCUAUGAGGAAUAAGCCGGAAUUUACCUCAGAAGAACAGCGCGAUCUGACGCGGCUUUAUUCAGCAGAGAUCAUUUCUGUAAUUUAUUCUUACCUACAUUAGUUAACGUGUUAUUUUUACAUAAACCUGUACGGAUUUUACAAGUUGGGCUUUUCCUGAACAUCUUGCCAAACUGAAAUGUAUUGUUUAACUUUUCUUAAGAUUUUUUGUUACUCAGAUAUUUUGCAGAGUAUUUCUAUUUAAAGAAGGUUAAAUUUUUUUAUAAAAAAUGUUUAAGUAUUAAGGCCUUUCCACACUGAGUGCAAAAAAGCGAAACAUCAGACUUCUAUGGAUACUUCCACAUAGGCCGCGAAAAUGACCGCAUAGACCGCAUUCGUGCACCGAAAAUGCGGAAAAAAUGUUUUCCCAACAGUCCGACAAAUCUUUUCAGUUUCGCAAAGCGAAAACACAUGCCAUCCAACAAGAUUUGAUCAUUACAUCACGUGGCCAGAGCAACUGCUGUUACCCAAAAGGUCGACGCGGUGGCGCUAAAAGCUCAAAAGAGUGUAUUGAGCAUGAGCGUAAAAACACAGAAGUAGAGGACUUUUUCCGCAAGAGAGAAGAGAGUGAAUGCUGAGUUCUUGUUAGUAUUUAAGAACAGACGAUUCUCACAUGUUCUUUAUACAGAAUAACAUUUCUAUUAAUUCUCCACUGAAUUAUGUUAUCUGAAGAGCACCGUCCAUUAUCUUCGCGAGCACGAGUCAGAGCUUGUUCACUCUAGACCUGUCAAUCAUGUAAUCAUAUCUCUUGCCCUUCCGUAUAUAAAAAAAAGAUAAAAAAUGUUCUACACAUGAAAUAUGAAAGCAAAUAGACAUAUACAGAAAAUAUAUGAUCUUCAUAAUUAUGUUUUUAUGCAGCUCAUGGAUUUUUUUUUUAACAAUAAAAGAUGGUUAUGACACAUGACAAGCAGGUAUCAAUCAGUCCAUUAUAAAACAUACAAAGAGUGCAUGUCUGCCUAUUACAGAAUCAAAAUCCAUUUUAGAUCACAUUCAGUGAUGCAAAAGAUGCAUUGUUGGUCAGCACCACCAACAGGUGCAGGUGUGAAUGCAACAUUUGCGGGCGAUUCACCUCACUUUUUCGCAUCGCGCUUAGUGUGGAAAGGCCUUUACAGUUGUUUUAAAGCUAAAAGGCUAAACUAUUCUAUGUUUGACUCAAAUUGAAAGAAUAAUUGUCUAUUGUCUAGGUUUAUAGGGAGUUUAAGAUGUAGCCUAAUUAGUGAUUUGAAUAAUUAAGUUACUUAUUGAGUAACUAAAUUACUUGUCAGACAGAGUAAUUAGUAAAGUAAUUUAAACACAAUAUUGAUGAUGUAAUUGUAAUUAAUUACUUUUUGAAAGUAGCUUACCCAACACUGCUCCUUAGUACUGACACAACACACAGGAUGCAAACCAUGAAGCCUGUCCUCCUCCAACAACAAAAGCAGCACUAAUUCCAAGUCAUUGACUUUUCACAAAUGCUACUGCUUAUGUUAGCUUUUAAUAUACGGUUUUAUCCUGAUUAAAGCUUUAAUACAACACGGCAACCGCAUGAGCCUCCAUGUUUAACGCUUCUCAUAGCUAUGUGAAAAAUAUCUGUCUAUACACAAAGUGUAUAAUUGGAGCAGUUCAUUGUUGGAAAGAGAUGCAGAGCAGGGGGAAGUGAGGAACAGGAUUAAGAACCUCUGCUUUACAACACUGAUUUUGAAACUUCUGAAUCCAUUAGAAUCGUUAGAAGAGAAUCGCUUCCUCUUCUCUAAAGCAGCGCAGCAUGGCCCUGCCCCCUUUGCUGCAUGUUCCUGGGGGCAGGGUUUAUCAGGGUUUGUGACGUCACAAACCCGGGAAGUAACCCAUUA
Onychostoma macrolepis is the source of this 5835-nucleotide long non-coding RNA. RefSeq lists it as uncharacterized. The transcript is spliced from 3 exons. NCBI's taxonomy places the organism in Eukaryota, Metazoa, Chordata, Actinopteri, Cypriniformes, Cyprinidae. The record is from RefSeq and is a predicted model, not a curated record.